GACGAACGCUGGCGGCGUGCCUAAUACAUGCAAGUUGAGCGCUGAAGGUUGGUACUUGUCCCAACUGGAUGAGCAGCGAACGGGUGAGUAACGCGUGGGGAAUCUGCCUUUGAGCGGGGGACAACAUUUGGAAACGAAUGCUAAUACCGCAUAAAAACUUUAAACACAAGUUUUAAGUUUGAAAGAUGCAAUUGCAUCACUCAAAGAUGAUCCCGCGUUGUAUUAGCUAGUUGGUGAGGUAAAGGCUCACCAAGGCGAUGAUACAUAGCCGACCUGAGAGGGUGAUCGGCCACAUUGGGACUGAGACACGGCCCAAACUCCUACGGGAGGCAGCAGUAGGGAAUCUUCGGCAAUGGACGAAAGUCUGACCGAGCAACGCCGCGUGAGUGAAGAAGGGUGUCGGAUCGUAAAACUCUGUUGGUAGAGAAAAACGUUGGUGAGAGUGGAAAGCUCAUCAAGUGACGGUAACUACCCAGAAAGGGACGGCUAACUACGUG
This 497-nucleotide ribosomal RNA is filed under the name uncultured bacterium. Its description in RNAcentral is "partial 16S ribosomal RNA". It matches the Rfam family "Bacterial small subunit ribosomal RNA", at positions 28 to 507 of the family's 1533-position model. The record is from RNAcentral.